CGCACCUACCGAUUGAAUGUUUCGGUGAAGAUUCCGGACUGGAACGUGGGCGCUUCACGGCGCUUGGGGGAAAGGAAGUUAUCUAAACCUCAACAUUUAGAGGAAGGUGAAGUCGUAACAAGGUUUCCGUAGGUGAACCUGCGGAAGGAUCAUUA
RNAcentral lists this ribosomal RNA (155 nucleotides) under Fucus vesiculosus. RNAcentral describes it as "partial 18S ribosomal RNA". It matches the Rfam family "Eukaryotic small subunit ribosomal RNA", at positions 1677 to 1831 of the family's 1831-position model. The record is from RNAcentral. Lineage: Eukaryota; Phaeophyceae; Fucales; Fucaceae.